CAAAGUAUUCCUAUGUCUUCAUACAGGGCUGGCCUCUUUAAGGAGAUUCAGCACCCUGCCUAAGCCGCUUGCAAGGCAUCACACUGAGCCAGACAGAAUACUCCUCCAUACUGAUGAGGGGCAAGC
Bufo bufo (common toad) is the source of this 126-nucleotide long non-coding RNA. RefSeq lists it as uncharacterized. The transcript has 3 exons. NCBI's taxonomy places the organism in Eukaryota, Metazoa, Chordata, Amphibia, Anura, Bufonidae. The record is from RefSeq and is a predicted model, not a curated record.